UGGAGUCAGGCUGCAUCCAACGUGGAGGUGCGAGCUGGGGAGCCCUGGUGGGCCAUGGUGGAUAAGAAGGAAUGGCCCCAGGGGAUGGAGCAGGAGGUUUUCAGCACGGGGCUGUGGGAUGAC
RNAcentral lists this non-coding RNA (123 nucleotides) under Guillardia theta. Lineage: Eukaryota; Cryptophyceae; Pyrenomonadales; Geminigeraceae. The record is from RNAcentral.